AUUUUUCCAUCUUUCUCAGCAGCCAAAGUUCUGUAAAGUGUCCACGAAACAGCAGCAGAAAAUGAGGAGACAAAGAGGCAAAGGGCUCCACAAAUCCUCUGUGGACCGCUGCGUAAGCUCGGACCGCGCAUCGGGAAAAUGUGGCGUUUAAUUGGAAGCAUGCACACACUGAAUGCUUUUGCCAGCUGGGAAACUGAAACUUUGCAAGUCCUUCCAGUCACUGAAUCCUGGAACCUCUGAUGCUACUGAAAUUGCCAGUGGGGCACAUUUCCACCUUGUGGGGGCAAGAAUCUACUAGUUUCCUGGGGCACCCAGCACCAUUCCUGAC
This 328-nucleotide long non-coding RNA is filed under the name Equus caballus (horse). Its description in RNAcentral is "lncRNA (ENSECAG00000047083.1)". The record is from RNAcentral. Lineage: Eukaryota; Metazoa; Chordata; Mammalia; Perissodactyla; Equidae.